RNAcentral lists this unclassified non-coding RNA (2727 nucleotides) under Monomorium pharaonis (pharaoh ant). Its description in RNAcentral is "carnitine O-acetyltransferase, transcript variant X5". The record is from RNAcentral. Lineage: Eukaryota; Metazoa; Arthropoda; Insecta; Hymenoptera; Formicidae.
GAAAAGAAUGUUCGAAAAUGCAAUUCAAUGUAAUAAAAAGAAUAAAUAAAAAUAAAAUACAAUAAAUAAUCCUAUUUCUUUACGACAGAAUAUCUUAUUAGCUCCAACAAGCAAUUGAUUUUCCAACAUAAAAUAUAAAAAUAUUAUGUAGAAAUAAAUUUUAAGAACCGACAAAAAUAUACCAGAAAAAAUCGUAAACCGAACAAAAUUUUAUAUAUAGUUUUGAUUAUGGUUCCAGUGUUGUAAAUUUUAUAAAUUUAACAGAAUACUGUUAUGGUUUACGGUUUCGGUCCAGCUAAAAGAUUCAGCUAAAAAUCGGGUAUGAAAUGGUUAUUGGUUCCAAUUCUGGGACGGUUCGGGUCCCUGGUUAGUAGAAUGGUGCCUCAAAUGAGUUCAGUCUGUUAACAUUUUUCGAUAUUCUAUGCGGGUCUGUUGUAUCAACAUUUUGCUAACUUUCCAAUGUCGAAGUAUACAAUAAGUGCGUACAUGUAUUUUUUUUACAGAAAAAGAAAGCUUUUAAGAGAAUUUAUUAAAUUUACAAUGGACAGCGUAAAGCACCAUUCAUUCUUUGAACAGUAUAUAACUACAUUAAACUUAAAUAAGUGUCCAAUUCCGAAACAACCUGUUCCUGAUCUUGAGCAAACUGCAGAACGUUAUUUAAGAUCUGUAAAGCCAUUAUUGACUGAUGACGAAUAUAAAAAUACGAAGAAGAUUGUUGAUGAUUUUAUAAGUCAUACGAGUGCAGGAUCACAAUUACACACUAAAUUACGUGAAAGAUAUCAAAACACUGAUAAUUGGAUGAAAGAUUGGUGGCUGGAAGUUGUAUACCUAGGAUAUCGUAUGCCCGUGAUCGUGCAUUCCAGUCCUGGAAUUAUUGGGCCUCCAAUUAUUUUCCAGCAACCAGAUGACGUAUAUGUGUACGCAGCCCGUCUCAUUGCUGGAGUAUGUGAUUACAAUGAAAUGGUCAAGAAUGGAAAAUUGAAACAAGAAAUGACUCGCAACGACCCACUCGACAUGCAGCUUUAUGCUAUGAUACUUGGCACACACAGGAAACCAGGUGAAAUAGUUGAUAAACUGUUGCACACAGAUGAGGCAACACACAUAAUAAUCAUAUGCAAUAAUAAUUUCUUUAAACUUUACGUUGUCGAUAAAAACGGCAUUUUAAGCGAGGGUAAGCUUGUGGCUGCCAUAAAAGAUAUUGCAAAUCGCUCGUGUAUCCAGGGAAAACCUAUAGGAAUUUUAACUGGGAACGACAGAGACACUUGGGUGAAAGACUACAACUUACUUUUAGAACUGGGUAACAAUAGAAAUAUAAUAAAGGAUAUAGAAACUUCUUUGUUUAUAUUGUGUCUCGAUAAGGAUAUACCUAAAGAUGCUUUUAAGGAAAAAAAUAAUGCCUCGGUCAGAGCGAUUCAAGCAUUGACAGGCUAUAAUAGUUGCACAAACGCUGGUAACAGAUGGCACGACCAUACCGUGCAAUAUAUAGUAUCCACUGAUGGUUUUAUGGGCAUGGGAUUCGAACACAGUCCAUGCGAGGGAAUUCCUUUUGCUGCUCUUCAGGAUCACGUAUUAAAAUAUAUAGCAGAAAAAAAAAAUAACGCAAAGAAUGUAAAAUCCAAAGAUUCCCCGAGACCAGAACUUUUGAAGUUCGAAACAAAUGACGCUAUAGAUUAUGCGAUCAAGAUAGCUACUGAUACAGUAGAUAAGAUUUCAAACGACAUAGACAUGGAAUGUUUUACAUUCGAUAAAUUCGGCACAGACGUCAUAAAAGCGAUUAAACUGAGUCCCGACAGUUUUAUUCAGAUCGCGAUGCAAGUGACAUUUUAUAAUUUGCAUAGAAAGAUACCGGCUCAAUACGAAAGUGCGGCAUUACGACGAUUCAUAAAUGCCAGAACUGAAUGCAUCAGGUCCACUAGCAUUGAAUCGGUCGAGUUCGUUAAAGCUAUGCAUCUCGCGGAUUGCGAGAACAAACAGCAAAAGAAGAAAUUGUUGAUCAAAGCUAUAAAUGCUCAUAAAAAACUUGCCGAGCAAGCUAUAACUGGUCAAGGCGUCGAUAGACAUUUGUUCGGCUUAAGGAUGAUCGCAAAAAGUGAAGGGAUGGAGCUCCCAGAAUUAUACAAAGAUGUUGGUUAUACUAGAAGUACACAUUUCAAUGUAACAUCAAGUCAGUUGCCGUUUAAGACAGCGUCUUUUGCUUGCUACGGACCAGUAGUUUCCGAUGGUUAUGGUUGCUGCUACAAUCCACGACCGAAGGAUAUUCUAUUCGCUAUUUCGUCAUUUAAAUCGUGCAGCGAGACUAACACGAGGGACUUUGCUCGUAUUUUACAGCAGACACUGAUCGGCAUGCGAGAUAUAGGAAGUGAUUGAAAGUGCAAGAACUUCAUUUUUAUUGCGACGGAGAAAUUGUUGAUUGGUACUUAUAUCCCAGCUAUAGCCAGGCCUGUUAAAAUCACAUAUCUUGAAAGCUUUACAGUAUCUUGCUGCGGAAUUUGGCAAAUCAACAAUGGCGGAGGAAGAGAGAAAAACAAGAGAAAAUAAUUUUGCCGGGUUGGCGGUCGCAAUCUAUUAGGAAUCGUAGGAGGGUAGAGGUAGACGCGCGAAAGAACGCUGGACAAGAGGAUGCUAAAUUGCCCGUCAAACUCGAUCGAGAUCGAUUAUGUAGAGUCAUUCGUUUAUCUUUGUUCAUAAAAAUAUUUGCUUUAAAAUACAAGUUAUGUAUGUAGCUUA